CCCAACUUGACAAGCUCCACCAAAGUUGGAACCAGAAGGACGUCCGGUUUUCAUCUCUUAUACAGAAAGAAACUGCCAUUAGAAGUUCUCUGGUUUCUUUGGAACAGAAUCUGCAAUCUAUGAUCUCUCAUGAACAUGAUGAGGAACUACAUCUUUUCAGAAGCAGAGCUCUUAUGGCUGCACUAAUGCAGCCCUUCUCUGAGUUGGACGCAGUUGAUCGAGAAUUGUCGGUGCUUGGGGCACCUGUUGAAUCUGGUUCAACUAGGAUUUCUCACCUAAAAAAUUUAUUUAAUUCAGGAUGCCCGCUAUCUGAAUAUAUUUGGAAAUUUCCUGGCAUAUGGAGCAAUCAUGCCUUCUUUGUGUGGAAGGUUUAUAUAGUGGACUCUUUCCUUGAUUCCUGCACACAAAAUAUAGCUUUACAAGCUGAUCAAAGUUUGGGAUUUGAUCAACUUGUAAAUAUAGUGAAGAAAAAACUUGAAUCUCAGCUUCAAGAAAAUGUUGAGCAGUACUUGAAAGAGAAAGUUGCGCCUGUUUUAAUAACAAGGUUAGAUAAAGAAAGUGAAUAUUUGAAACAAGUGACAGAGUCAACAGAAGAUCUUACUUGUGAUCAAGGAAAUAACAACUUUGCAGCUGUAAGAAAUGUGCAAAUCAUGCUUGAGGAGUACUGCAAUGCACAUGAAACUGUCAGAGCAGCGAAAUCAGCUGCUUCCCUCAUGAAGAGGCAGGUGAGUGAGUUAAAGGAGGCUCUUCUUAAGACCAGCCUUGAAAUUGUUCAGAUUGAAUGGAUGCAUGAUAUAAAUGCUAAUAUUCUGCAAAAGAGAAGGCUGAUAUCUCAUAAAUAUCUUUCAAGUGAUGCUAGACUCCUUCCAGUUCUUCUAAACAUCAGCAGACCUCAAUUGCUUGAAAAUUUUCAAUCAUCGAUUGCAAAAAUAGCUAGAGCUCUAGAGGGCCUGCAAGCUUGUGAGAGAACUUCUGUCACAGCAGAAGGGCAGCUUGAGAGAGCUAUGAACUGGGCUUGUGGAGGUGCAAGUUCAACUUCUGCUGGAAAUGCUUUGGCAAGGAAUCCAGGAAUACCUCAGGAAUUCCAUGAUCAUCUAAUGAGGCGCCAACAGUUAAUAUGUGAAGUUCGAGAAAAG
This 1136-nucleotide long non-coding RNA is filed under the name Solanum tuberosum (potato). Its description in RNAcentral is "long non-coding RNA (STUB_LNC002442)". The record is from RNAcentral. Lineage: Eukaryota; Viridiplantae; Streptophyta; Magnoliopsida; Solanales; Solanaceae.